CAUUCAACCAGCCCAUAUUUCCUUAGCUUGCUUGCAAGGAUGUUGUGGGAAAGCAUAUGAAAAGCCUUGGUAAACUCAAGGCAUAUCUCAUCCACUGCUCCCCCAGCAUCCACAGAGCCAGUCAUCUCAACAUAGAUGGCAAUCAGGUUGGUCAGGCAUGACUUGCCCUUGGCGAAUAAAUAUUUUGGAGCCCACAAGGGCUUCUCUGCCACCUUGAGAAGGCCAGGCCCACCUGCAACUUUGAACUCACAACCUUUUAAAGGUCAGUACACCACUCGGAGCCCUGAUCCUCUUUGAGAAGUUCUUUGGUGCUCCUCUCUCCCAAUUCACCUAUUCAUUAAAUCCAUCCUGUCUAUUUUUAUAUCUUGUGUCCAUAGGUAAAAUCUUCCAGCAACUCUAUAUUCCAUGCAUUGCUUCUGCUGUGAUUCAUUUAAUACUGUGAUAGGCUGAACUGAUUAUCACCAUGGUUAAGGAGCACAAGAUGACACUUUUCAAAUGAUGCCAUAUGCCUGUACCCCAGGAGUUCAGAUUUUCAAGUUAAUGUAAACUGUUUGUGGGCUCAGACUGUCACAUAC
Gavialis gangeticus (Gharial) is the source of this 575-nucleotide long non-coding RNA. RefSeq lists it as uncharacterized. The record is from RefSeq and is a predicted model, not a curated record. The transcript is spliced from 3 exons. Lineage: Eukaryota; Metazoa; Chordata; Crocodylia; Gavialidae.